GACGAACCGUGCGAACGUUAUUCGGAAUCACUGGGCUUAAAGGGCGCGUAGGCGGAUUUGCAAGUCUGUGGUGAAAUCCUCCAGCUUAACUGGAGAAGUGCCAUGGAUACUGCGAGUCUCGAGGAAGGUAGGGGCAUCUGGAACUGCCGGUGGAGCGGUGAAAUGCGUUGAUAUCGGCAGGAACUCCGGUGGCGAAGGCGAGAUGCUGGAUCUUUUCUGACGCUGAGGCGCGAAAGCUAGGGGAGCAAACGGG
Molecule: ribosomal RNA, 253 nt
Filed under: uncultured bacterium
Lineage: Bacteria
Description: partial 16S ribosomal RNA
Rfam family: Bacterial small subunit ribosomal RNA
Source: RNAcentral